This 805-nucleotide long non-coding RNA is filed under the name Brachypodium distachyon (stiff brome). RNAcentral's name for it is "long non-coding RNA (BDIS_LNC001897)". Lineage: Eukaryota; Viridiplantae; Streptophyta; Magnoliopsida; Poales; Poaceae. The record is from RNAcentral.
GGCUGACGACCCCCUCGAAGCCUCUCCUAACAUGGGACUAAGUUGUGCCCGCAUGGCCGACCGAACCUAUUCAAAAAUAUAGGCCGGCGAAAUGGCUAUUUGCCCGCAAAGGAACGUUCCUUCUCGGGCCCUCCCCUCGCAUCCAACGGGGGCUGGUGUGUAACAUCCCAAAAUUUCAAACUUUUACAUGUGCAUUGCAUCCAUGAGCAUCAUGCCACAAUUGCAUAUUCGAAUUCAAAUUUUCAAUCUCAAAAGGCUUUGGAAAGAUUCUUUAUUUCAUUUUAAACCCUAGGGUUUACACCCAUAUGAGCUUUGGAUUUUCAAACCAAUAGGUUUUAUGUAUAAAAGGGGCUUAAUGCACAUAUAAGCCAUCCCAUAAUUUUUGGUUAAUUAUUUGGAGUUGAAAAAGUAUUUUAUUUAAAUGGAUAUAUAGCCCUAAAGGCAUUUAUAGGGCAAAUUUAUUUUUAUAUAUUUUAUUUUGAGGGGAAAAUACUCCCAAAAGUUGUAUCAUGGUGGAACAUGAUUUUACAAAUUUUCUGGGAUUUAUUUGGACCAAUUUGGAGUUCAAAAUCAAAAGUUAUCAAAGAAAUAGGAAAAGGGAAAAAGAAAAAAAAAGGGUGAACCGGACCGGUCCGACCGCUUGGGCCGAACCGGCCGAACCAGCCCGACCGACCGAGCUGCCCGCGCGCGCGCGCUCGAGCCACAGACAGGUGGGGCCCACCUGUCGGGGUCGUCCCCUACCUCGGGCAAGUGCCCGAAAUCGCGCCGCCGUCCCCGCGCGUGACCGCCGCGCGCCAUCACCGGG